UGGAGGUGGUAUUUCAAUUUGUGUUUAUAAGCACUUAAACAGAUUGAAGAGGACUAUUGGGAACUGAAUUGGUUGUGGCCAAGAAGCCACCACUACCUACACCUGAAGUUAUAUAAUAAACUAGAAAUUUGGUGCCAAGGCGGUUUGCAAGACAGAAGAAGUGAAUGAAUCUGUACAAAAUGUUUGCUCAGGGUUAGCCAUUCCGCAACAAGGUCGUUGCUUAUUUCGCUGCUGGUUGCAGCUUCCAGAUAUGAAAGAUGCUGAGCAGUAUGCUGUAAAGAUUGCUAUCCAAAAGCUUGGCAUCCAGACAACGCCAAAUGAUCUGACCAUAGAGGAACUAUGUGAGGAUGCUUGUUGGUAGGCUGCGUGAUGGAGGUUAUUAGGGAUCUUUUAUCUACAUUUUGCCGUCUGCAUUGGCUACCUGAACAUGAAUUCACGACAACUUGUGUUAAUGAUUCACGAAAAAACAAAAAAGAUGAUUAUAUCAAAACUAAUUGGAGAAACUGAAAAUGGAGGUGUUGUUGAGGCUAAUAGCGGGGAGGUGAUAAUGGGUGCUGGAGCCACCUCUAAGUGUGAUGUGAAGAUAGUAUCCACGAGCCACGAUGUGGUUAUGGAGUGGUCACCUGGAGAUUGUUACAAAAAGCAAGGUGAUGCAAUACAGAGCACUUCUUGAAAGUCCUCUUGUGGCUGAAGAACAAGUAUUUUAAACAACUGGACAUUCCUAUAGAGAGGUGAAAGUUAUGUUCUUGGGAUCCGUAUGAUCUUUUCGAAGGAAGUUGCAAUCUGUUUAUCUAUACAUACUGGUCAGCAUGCUAGUUUCUUUUGAAGUGUUCAGUGGGUCUCCCGGAUCGUGUAGAGGAGCUCGUUGAGACGAAUAGGCAUUAUCACAUAGUUUCCCCUCCAAAAAGUGAAGGUCUCGAUUUUAGUCUCUACAUUAAAUGGCUCCCUGGUAUGCAUUAGCUAUGGUCGUUGGUUAGAGAAGGAGAGCAAGACAUGAAAGAAACAUUGAAAGUUUUGAAGAAUUUGAGUUUGAAACUGGAAGCGGUUUUGUUGAAACAUGUGUUACACAAACGUCUCUUGCUCAAUCUGCUAUUUACAUCACUGAGUUGCCACAUCAGCUCUUGGUUCUGGGUUCACUCAUGGUUCUGCUAAGUCUAUAUCAUCGUCAUCUUUGAUGUCUGAAGAGAUCUUUGUUAAUGGUGCUGCCAGAAAAAUUGGUAUGGCUGGGACUGUAGGUAAAGCGCUGCAAAAGCUUAAGAGUACUCUGGAGAUGAUCGCAGAUGUGACAUCGGACGUCAAAAAGAAGCAGAUGAAAGACAAAGUUGCGCAACUCUGGUUGAGAAGGCUCCAGGAUGUUGCAUAUGAUGCUGACGACAUUUUGAAUGAAAUUUCCUACUAAGCUAUGCGUCAAUCCAAGAGGAUGGAAAUACGGAUAAGGUAACAAGUUCUAUCUACAGUAAAAUUUGGUUUUAGAAAAAAAAAGUCGCUAGAAGAUCAAAAUCGUUAAUCAAGAGGUAGAUGAAUCGCGAAGCAGAACGACCAUAACGUUGAUGAUUAGAAUAUUGAACUUUCUUUUAUAGGCUAUAUUAUAAAAUUGUUGGAUAAAAUAUUAGGAAAUACGAUAUAUAUGGUAAGUGUCGUAGUGGUCUAGGACUCAAGAAUGUGUCUCGAGUCCCAAGUAUUUCCAAGACUGUUGGGAAGUUUAGGGAGAACUUUGGUCCAAGUAGGUAGCUAUCUUGAGACCGAUAAUUAAGGGCUCAAGUUGGUGUCUAGGGUUAAUAUCUUGUACACCAAGUAUGGUCUUGUAUAAAAGCUACGACAAUGCAUGAAUGAAAAGAAGAAAAGGGAAUUACCCAAAUCUUAACAUGGCAUCAAGAGCCAGGUUGAUUAACAAGAACCCGAGAACCCUAAUCCAGUAAACAUGGCGGAUGAUACAGAAUCAUCAAAAAAAGGAAAAGUUGUAGAGAACAGCAGAGGAGGUAGAGGACAGGGCAAUAUACGUGCGCAUAAUUUGAACAUCUCAGCAGCAGCGACAACUCAUUCUGGCGCUGGUUCUUCAGUAGAUGGAUCAGGAUUGACGGGCGUGACUGCAAGUCAGGUCCAGCAGGUGCUUGAGUAUUUAAAUUCAAGAAAAUUCAGUUCCCAGCUACAAGGUAAGACAAAUCAAACAUCCUGGAUUAUAGAUACAGGAGCUACAAAUCAUGUCACGUGUAAAAGAGAUGAUAUGAUAAAUGUGAAAGAUAUUAGAGCAUGCUCUGUGGGACUGCCAGACGGAAAACAUGCCCAGUCUGAGAAAAUAGGAACUGUUGUUCUUCCUGGUGGGUUGAGAUUGGACAAUGUUCUUUAUGUGCCACAGAUAACUUGUAACUUAAUUUCAGUUACACAGCUCAUUGAUGAGGUAGUAUGCAAUGUCCAAUGUACUAACAGUUUAUGUCUUAUAUAGGACUGGUUGACGAGGAAGGUGAUUGGAGUGCGUGAGUGACGAGGUGGAAUAUAUAUUUUCUGUGGUGUGCCUCCAGUUAAAGUGCUUGCGGUUAGUAAUGAUACGUAUGAGCUGUGGCAUCGACGAUUGGGACAUCCAUCAGAGAAAGUGUUACAACAGUUACCAGGUGUGGGUAGAUUAUUGAAGAAGAAUAAUGAUGCGUGUGAUAUUUUUCCGCGUGCAAAACAUCGUAGAAGUAGCUUUGCUAGUAGUUUGAGUAAAUCCAGUUGUAGUUUUGAUUUGGUUCAUAUAGAUUUAUUGGGCCCUUAUAAGAUGCAUUCGUCUUCUGGAGCUCAAUAUUUUCUGACAAUAGUAGAUGAUUUUUCAAGAGGUGUGUGG
Molecule: long non-coding RNA, 2821 nt
Organism: Papaver somniferum (opium poppy)
Lineage: Eukaryota; Viridiplantae; Streptophyta; Magnoliopsida; Ranunculales; Papaveraceae
Exons: 3
Source: RefSeq, a predicted model, not a curated record